ACCACUGCUGCCACCAUCGC
RNAcentral lists this unclassified non-coding RNA (20 nucleotides) under Mus musculus (house mouse). Its description in RNAcentral is "oocyte_clustered_small_RNA5743". The record is from RNAcentral. Lineage: Eukaryota; Metazoa; Chordata; Mammalia; Rodentia; Muridae.